This 513-nucleotide ribosomal RNA is filed under the name uncultured bacterium. RNAcentral's name for it is "partial 16S ribosomal RNA". It matches the Rfam family "Bacterial small subunit ribosomal RNA", at positions 28 to 523 of the family's 1533-position model. The record is from RNAcentral.
GAUGAACGCUGGCGGCGUGCCUAAUACAUGCAAGUCGAGCGAACGGAUAAGGAGCUUGCUCCUUUGAAGUUAGCGGCGGACGGGUGAGUAACACGUGGGUAACCUACCUAUAGGACUGGAAUAACUUCGGGAAACCGGAGCUAAUGCCGGAUAACAUUUGGAACUGCAUGGUUCUAAAGUAAAAGAUGGUUUUGCUAUCACUUAUAGAUGGACCCGCGCCGUAUUAGCUAGUAGGUAAGGUAACGGCUUACCAAGGCAACGAUACGUAGCCGACCUGGGAGGGUGAUCGGCCACACUGGAACUGAGACACGGUCCAGACUCCUACGGGAGGCAGAAUUGGGGAAUCUUCCGGAAUGGACGAAAGUCUGACGGGGCAACGCCGCGUGAGUGAUGAAGGUUUUCGGAUCGUAAAACUCUGUUAUUAGGGAAGAACAAAUGUGUAAGUCACGGUGCACAUCUCGACGGUACCUAAUCAGAAAGCCACGGCUAACUACGUGCCAGCCGCCGCCGUAA